RNAcentral lists this ribosomal RNA (232 nucleotides) under uncultured eukaryote. RNAcentral's name for it is "partial 18S ribosomal RNA". It matches the Rfam family "Eukaryotic small subunit ribosomal RNA", at positions 627 to 873 of the family's 1831-position model. The record is from RNAcentral.
CUCGUAGUUGGAUUUCUGGCGGGGACCCAAGUACCCCUGGUGGGUGUGCUCGGGCCCGGCCAUCCUUCUGUAAACUUUCGCGCGUCCUUCACCGGUCGGCAAAGGGAUCAGAUAAUUUACCUUGAGAAAAUUAGAGUGUUUCAGGCAGGCUUAGCCGGAAUACAUUAGCAUGGAAUAAUGGAAUAGGACUGAGGUCUCGUUGUUGGUUACGCGGACUACAGUAAUGAUUAAU